GAUGAACGCUAGCGACAGGCCUAACACAUGCAAGUCGAGGGGCAGCACAAGGAGCAAUCUGAGGUGGCGACCGGCGCACGGGUGAGUAACACGUAUGCAACCUGCCUGUAAGCGGGGGAUAACCCGUUGAAAGACGGACUAAUACCGCAUAAUACUGGAGAUCUGCAUGGAUAUUCAGUUAAACAUUUAUGGCUUACAGAUGGGCAUGCGCAUGAUUAGAUAGUUGGAGAGGUAACGGCUCCCCAAGUCAACGAUCAUUAGGGGUUCUGAGAGGAAGGUCCCCCACACUGGUACUGAGACACGGACCAGACUCCUACGGGAGGCAGCAGUGAGGAAUAUUGGUCAAUGGGCGAGAGCCUGAACCAGCCAAGUCGCGUGCAGGAAGAAUAGUCCUAUGGAUUGUAAACUGCUUUUGUCGAGGGAAGUAAAUGAGCCACGUGUGGUUUUUGUUAUGUACUCUGCGAAUAAGG
This 470-nucleotide ribosomal RNA is filed under the name uncultured bacterium. RNAcentral describes it as "bacterial SSU rRNA". It matches the Rfam family "Bacterial small subunit ribosomal RNA", at positions 28 to 491 of the family's 1533-position model. The record is from RNAcentral.